RNAcentral lists this long non-coding RNA (31063 nucleotides) under Gallus gallus (chicken). Its description in RNAcentral is "lncRNA (ENSGALG00010025332.1)". The stretch from base 14853 to 14924 matches the Rfam family "mir-133 microRNA precursor family". Lineage: Eukaryota; Metazoa; Chordata; Aves; Galliformes; Phasianidae. The record is from RNAcentral.
GAGAGGAGCGACUGAACUCCAAAUACUGCUCAGCAGCCUCCAGCUGACAGGCUAUUUUUUGCCAUGGUUGACUAAAUAUGGUCAGGGAGGAAAGAGCACGAGCAGGGGCCGCUCGCCCGGUGAGAUUGGCUAUAAGGAGAAGGCUGACGGCUGCAGCAUGAAGCGCAUUAUUACCUUGUGAUUCCAUGACCCUCCUCUAUGCAUCCCUAACUCUCGAAAGCUGAUUCAGCUUUCAGCUAGUGCUCUGGUGAGUCCUCUGCUGCAACAGAAGCUCCUAACUGGUAUGUCUCUUUUUUUCCUUCCCCUCUUCUGCUCCCUUUCUUCCCUCUAACUGCACUAGCUCAGCUCGUUUUUAAACACUUUUCUGACCGAUGCAGGACUGAGUGCCCAUCCAACUUACCCGGGGACUUAAAUGUCUGCUUUUGCAUCCGGCAAAUGUGUGUGUGCUGCGUGUGUGUGUGUCUGUGUGGGGAUGUGCCGGCUGCCUCUAAUCCAUGGAUGAGUUGGGAGACCUUCCCCCCACCUUUAUUCUUUUUUGUUGUUGUUGUUCUGCUGUGGCAUACUCUGCAUUUAAAGGGGGGGAAAAAAAAAAGGAACAAACUGCAGAGCAAGCAGUGCACUAUAAUAAUCUGAACUGAAAUGUUAGAACUUUGACAUGCAGCCGUUCUGCAAGGUUAAACUGGCCUUUAAAUGCCUAAUUCAGAGCCAGGCUGGCUAAUGACACCUAGGGGGAUUGGGGCUUCAUUUAUUUAUUUGCACCAAACUAGUGGCUCUGAGCUAAUACCAAACAGAGCAAAAGGGUGAAAUGUGGUUAAACUUAGCCUAACUUGCAGUGAUCUCAGUGCUGCGGUGAUUAACUGUUCCAAUGCCGAGAACUGAGCGUUAAUUGCGGACGCAUGGCUUGUGGGCAAUCAGAAAGGAGAUGCAAGGAGAAGUUAGGUUUUCCCUGCAAGGGGUUUGAAUUCAGGUUACACUUCAUCCAUCAAUCGGCUGUUAUUGCUUUUGCAGCUGAGAGUUAGCUGUGGUCAUUAUAUUUUAUAUGAUAGUGGUGAUACCUGAUCACAUAAAUGUAUAUGCAUUGGUAUUGUGUGAGGGGUACUGUGUUAUAUACACGCAUGCACACAAACUGGGAUAUCUUUUAUAGCAUGCAUAUGUAUAUUUUACACGGCUUUAUACAGAGAUAUUAAAUGCUAUUAUAAACAGGUGUAGCACAUGAUCCCAAUUCAAUGCACCUUCAGUCUGUGCUUGGAGUAUGGCUAUUUGCAUAUGUCUGUGCUGGAGAGAGUGUGCACUCAGCAGUCGUGUGUAAUUGUGGAGGCAGAGCCCUGUGAUCUGGCUGGCAGUUUAAUUGCUGGUUCCCUGGUGCGGGUGGCCAUGCUGCCGCCCCAAAGGACUGAGCCUGGUCCAUUCCCUGCAGCUCGGCCCUGCUGGCUUUCCUUGGCUGUGCCCAGCCCCAAACCAGGCUGCCUCCAAGUCCCUGAAGUUUUGCACUGCACAGCCACAGCCUGACUUUGCCACCGGGACUGGAGGAGCUCCUCCAGAAUGGGAUAGAGGGAGCAGGUGUACAGCAUCAUGCUUCCAUCCUUCCCACUCCCUCCAUCCCUCCAUCUCCAUCCUUCCCUUUUAUUUGCUCCUUGCACUCUGCACUAUCCACAUUCCCAUGCAUUUUUCCCCCCACAACAACCACAAUUUUAUUGUGCAGCUUUUUCUGCUCUGGGUGAGCCGAGGUGUGUGGAGGAUGCUGGGCGAUGCUCGCCCACCACCCAUUACUCCUGGUGCUCACUGUAGGAUGUGGACCACAAAGUGCCUCUGGCGUCACCAUUAAAUCACCACCACGCCGCAUGUCUGCUCCUCCACCAGCAGGGCCAACCCUACAACUCACGGGCAGAUUGAAAUCUAGAUCCACCGCCUUUCUGGGAGCAACCAACAGAUGAACCUCCCUGCUGCGGUUGUUCCACUGUCUUCAAUAUUUGUAAGGAUUUUAUGUGCCGUCUUUUAGUUCCCUGUAGUUGGCUGGCAUCCCCUUCUCCUGCUCAUCUGCAGAAGUUUGGGACAGUUCAGGACAGUCCAUGGCAGGUGGAUUUCAGGAAAGCAAAUCGGGAGUGAGGUGAAAUGUGCAAUGGUCCAAGACGUCAAGUAGCUGUUCUGUUCCGUUGCUUGGCCUGUUGGUGUUUGUCUGAGGGGAAUUCAACAUGGCCAAGCGACUUGGCCAUGUGAAACCCACCUGAACUCAGUUCUUUGUGGGCUUUUGAGGAAUUCUUUUUAGAAUCGGAGCACCCAGGCUUUCCCUCACGCUCCUCUCCCUUCACUUUAAUUUCACUGCAGUCAUGCAUUAUCAUGGUGCCACAGCUCCAUCUCUCUUCCCAUUACUCCAAACCAGUGGUGGAAAUUUGCCUCAAAAUGAGACAAAUGACGACAUUUAGUGGGGCCAGAAGCCCUGUGGCAGUGAGGAAGGGCACAGUGCCGAACCAGCACUGGGCUCACACCCACUCUGCUGCGUGGUGCGUGGCACUGAGGGGUUGGGGCGAGCCCAUGGGUUUGCACCCCGGCUCUGCGGGGCUUUGCAGCCUGAUGGUGUGGAAGUCAAUCAGCACAGGGAAGUAUUUACUCCCACUCUCCCAGUGAUAUAUUUCACAAAGCAGCGGAAAAAAAACAAACAAAAAACCAACAAAACAAAAAAAAAAACCACCCAACACAUCGAUACAAUUAAGUAUUCCAAAGUGCUUACUUUGCCACUUGCUAAGUUUACUUAAACCCUCUUUAAAGGCUUCAUUAGAAACCGGUGAGAAAUGGCCAAAUUCAUUAGCGUCGAGGCAGGCGUUGUGCAUUUCGCCUGCAAAUUGCAAUCGAGCGGCGGCGGGGCGAGGGGCGCAGGUGAGCGCACACCCGCUGUGCUGAGCGAGCGGCAGCGCCCGCCGUGACCUCCGGAAUGCCGCCCUGCAUUCAGCCCAGCCACAUUGUUCCGGAGCUUUAAAGCUCAGCGUGGCUGCUGGCGGAGGGCAGAGGCAACGGGAACUGAUGGCUGCGUGUGGGGAUGAGCCCCACGGGGACAACUCCGAAAGACUUUUUUGGCCUAAGCCACCAGCACGGGGCUGGGGCUGCUUUUUAGUUUGCAUCUCUGCUGGUGUCUACCCCAGGUGUGGGGCUCCGCUGGAUGACUUGUGAAAAGCGAAUUGUUUUUUAUAUACGUUUUUUGAAUACCCCGAAAUCCCCCGCCCUUCUCCCAAGGUAUAUUGGGGAUUGUUUGCUGCAAGGUAGUGUCACACUCACGGUGACCAGCAGAGGAAAAAUCACUGGAUUCUUUAGGUAAGAUGCUUUCUUCUUCCUAUGCCUUAAUCUCUACUUAGUGCUGGAAGCGAUGGCGUGUCUGUAGCUGGUGAGUUCUCUUGCUCUGCCAGAUGGAGCACUUCUUGCUGGUGUUGCUUUGUAAAUCAGUGCCGGAUGCUGGAUUUUGGCUUUCUGAAAGCAAAUUGGCUUCUUGUUUCUAAAUUGCAGGAUGGAGGCGAUCGGGAUUUGAUAUCUACUUAACCUCCACCCACAUGGCUUUGUCUAAAUCUAUAUACACACACAUAUAUAUAUGCAUAUAUAUAUAUAUAUACACAGAAAGCAAAUUCCUUCAACUAAAGCCUUUUUAAUUGCUGAAAGUUUGCAAUUUCAGUGAAAGCAUCCUCUUUGUAGGGGGGCUGGGAGUGGGGCUUUUCCUCUGUGCCAUUCCAUGACAAAGUGCUGCAGGCACUCCAGGCAUUGCCCACUGCCUCUUCCCAGCCCUAAACCCCAGCAACCUGCAGGGGCAGAGCCGGAAUGACCAGCAAGGGGAGUGAGUGUGUGUGUGUGUGUGUGUGUGUGCAUGCAUGUGUGUGUUUUGCACAUGGGCUGCCUCAAACUGUGCUGUAACUCACUCCUGGGAAGUAAAUGGCACGCCAGCCCUAUUUCCUCCCGUGUACAUAUAAAUGCGCAUAUUGAACCUACCUGCUUGAGAGACAUACUUCUUUAUAUGCCCAUAUGAACCUGGCAAUCUAUGGAAUGUAAAGAAGUAUGUAUUUCAGGUGGGAACUCUUCUCGGAGGAGCAAUGUAUGACCCCGUGUGAAGGGGGGGGGGGGGAGGAAGACAGACAGAUUUUUGUCUUUUUUUUUUGAGAUGCCUGACAUGGCAGACUGGCUGGGGAGUCAAUUGGUGAUCUUGUUCCAGUGCGUGUAUUGUUCUGUCACUUUGCCUGUGUCAGCAGGUGGAAAUGCUCAUCAGGACAUUAAAUAUUCAAUAUGCUGACUGCGGCAUGGGCUUUGAAAGGCGAUGCCAGAGGAAAGCUGGCUGUCCACUCCUGGUUUUCAGCGGGGAUACAGACCAGUCCCUCCGGAUUGCUGCUUCCCCCUCGGCCCUUUUUCCCAAAAAUAAGGCUGGGUAAAAGAGCUGGUCCUUAAUCCUAGGGAAAAGGAAAGGAGUUGGAGGCGGGGAGAAGAAGGGAAGGAGUUGUGACUUGGAGGUGCAGUAUUUUGGCUUCACGUAAAUACGCAGACAGCUUUUGGGAUGUUUCCUGUGUUAAAACUUUUUGUGCUUAAUGCUGGAGAGGAAGCAAUGUUCACUGUGCGUGUGUUGGCCCUUGGACAUGGCCAGUGGGUGCCCAGCUCCCAGCCAGAGGCAGUGAGCGCUCCCAGUGUGUGUUAUUAGAGGGUUAUUAGAGGGAAAUAAGGAAAAUAGCACCUUGAAUUUGAGAAGCUUUCCUGGUGUUCUGGUUUUCCUUUUUAACCUUUCUCAUCGUAAAACACCUGGUUAUUCUCCCAGCAUCCCACGGCAGUGAGAUGCAAUGAUACAAAUGGGUGUAACGUUCUGUGCGAACAAUCAGAACUUUCUGUCUGGGUAGGGGCGGGUGAAGCUUUCAGCCCCCAUUUUCCUCAAGCUUAUGAGAUGCACAUAUCUGGGCUGUUAGGCACUGCAUUUCUCCAUCCCACCUACUCCCAAACUUAUCCCCAUCACCCCGCCGUGCAGCCGAGGGCACAGCAGUGUUCUGCUCUGGAGCAAGUUCCCUCUGGUUUCAGCACAUCUCUGUGCUUGGCAAAAGUGCUCUGAAGGCCUUUGCUGAGCCUCAGUUUGUUGUGAUUCAUGGCAAGCACUGCUGCCACUUGUUACACGUACACCAAAUGGGGUUUAACGGAAAGCAGGCACUUGUGAAUAGCAGGUUAAGUAAGGAGGGCUGGGCUCUUAAGGAGAUUUCCAAUGUACAGAAUUCUGUAAGUUUUAUAAAUCUUUCUUUUUUUAGAAAGAUGAUACAAGUGGUGGACACACAUGGAGUGCUCAACCUCUGCUUGGGGGAGGAGGGACCUCUGCUUUGCCAGGUGCUUUGAGGAGAGGCAUUGUCCCCUGGACAGGGAUGGGUCCCAGCCACUGAGGGUGUCCUGCCCCAGUUUGGGGCCACAAUUAAAUACAAAGGUGCUGGGAAAUGAAUAGAGACGGAGCAGCAGAGUUCCCAUGGCCAAACAGGGCUGCAAUUUCUCUCACUUGUACAUCACUGCUGGGAGCUUGACUUGCUGUGUGAAAAAUGGGGAUGAUUCUCACCAUUCUGGCCACAAUAGCAAUUUCCCUCCUCUCCCAGGUGACCUUUUACCCUACCUCUUCUCGAUUCCCUUUUCCUCACUGCUUUCCUCUCCUUCCUUCUUUCCUUGUCUUCUACUUGUGUGCUUCUCAUUUUCUCCUUAUUUCUAGCUUGCUUUCUUGCUUUCAACUCCGCUCUUAUAUUUUUCUCUUCUUUAUUUUCUUUUUUUUUUUCUCUUUUCUUUCAUUCUCUCAUUGUCUUGCUCUUUCUUUUUCUUGUUUUCUUCUCUUUCUCUGCAUUCUCAGCGCGGGUGUUACUGAGCCUUCCACAUCACUGUGCAUAUCUCUAGCGAAGGUGCUCAUGGUCUGAUUUACAACAGAUACCUGCAUCCCUAAUGCAAUUUUUAUCUCCUUCCCCCUCUCUGAAUUAAUAUGCUUGUUAAUCACACGGAAUUGCUAACUUUAGGAAGUCACUAAGUGUUCAGAUUUAUUUUUAUGUAAAUAUUUUCAAAACCAUAACUCAGCUCUGUCUCACGGUGUGGGAGCCACGUGGUGGAGGUGUGUGGGUGCAGAACACAUCCUGAGACCCUACCCCAUCUCUGGUGCAGUGUGGCAAUGCCAAAAAAUAAAUAGAAAUGCUGUAAAGACCCCAAAACCACGUCAGCCCUUUAGUCAUUAGCAUCGUCCACCAGUUUGCGCCAUUCUUACUCUUAGCUCCAGCUCCUUCUCGCUUUUCUUCUUGUUUGGAUUAAAACUGUGACUGUUCCUCCACACUAGGUCCUCCCUAUUUCUUAGCUUGAAGAAAGCCUCUUCUCCUUCGCUCUCCAUAGAGCAGAGCUGCAGGUUCUGUGCUGAAGCGAGGCGCGAUGCUCGGCUGUGCCCAUCCGUCCCGCAAAGCGCGCACUGAGCGGUCCCACCAGCAGAAACGGGAGCUCUGAGGACUGUAAAAGCCAUAAAUCCAGUGGACCAAAUUAGUUACGUUUUCCUAUUCUAUGCCUCACAAAACCCAUCCGUUCUUGAGAUGAAUUUUCUGCACAUAAGAGGAACUACGGGCAGGUAUAGAAUGGGAAUUUUGCACACGCGCAUGGGAGCACGGGGAUGAAUUCGUGCUGUGUGUUUUCCCCUGAAUUAUUUUUUUCCCUUUCAUGUGUUUAUGUUGAUGAGCUAUUAUUACUUUUGUUGCUAUUACUUAAUACUGGAAGACAGGUGGUCCAAUAAAUCCCAGCACUCUUCUUUUGUAAAAAAAAAAAAAAAAAGGGGGGGGGGGGCAUAUUUGCAAUUCAAGUUUAAUAGUGCAUUCAUCAAGAGCAAUAAAGCAUUCAUUUUAUUGCACGAGUAUUUCAAGGGAUGUGCUGGCCCUGGUGAAAGCAUUAGUAAAGGGGUGCAUCAGCAAUCUCAUUUAAAACUGUCGACCCAAUGUGAAAAAUGUUGCGUUGAAGAAUAAACUGCUAUUAAGCAUGAUUAGAUUGACCUGCAGGACAGAUAUUUUAGCUGCUGCAGCACAAGUCGAUCAAAGUGAGCAUCGCUUAGAUUGCAAAUUUUUUUUUUUUUAAUGCCCUAAAUUAAAAAUGAAAGAGCCUCAGAAUAUUUAGGACCAGAGAGUGACUUUGGGGGUGAGAUUUGUGUGUUUGAUUUGAGGAGGUUUGGAAAGGUGGAGAACGGGGGGAAAACAUAUUAAUUGCUGCCCCUUUAGCAUACAUUGAAAGUAUGUUACUCGGAUCAACCAAUCAAAAAAGAAAUUGUGCUGACUCAGCAUUCGGGCUAGUCUGCACGUCCGAUUGCAGAAGAGAUCAGCACUGCACUGCAGUAUCUUUCCCUGCCUUUGACACCAGCCUAGCUGGGCAGGGCUUCCCUUGUGCUUCCCAGGACUGGGUUAGGCCAAGAACAAGAGCGGGCUCUGAAGAAUCGAGGAGAGAGACAAGGUUGCAGGAGCCUUGAGCUGCUCCGAGGCUUUUUAGUCUGUAAGCAAGAGCUUCCAUGCUAGGUUUGCCCUGCCAGAUGCGAGCGGCAUGUAUUGCUUGGGAAUAUAUCUAUUUUUAAAGAGUUUCACCACAUCUUGCACUUCACGGUGGCUGUGGGCGAGGGGGUGGUGUGUUCCUUGCAAGAGAAAUAUCCUCGCUCCGGAGCUCGCAUCCCUCCCCUGAAAGCCGGGCGCUGAUUUCAGCGAUUCCCUCCCAGUGAAGGCGCUCAGUUUAGCGCUUUCUGCUGAAGUUGCUCUUGACCUGAAGCCAUCAUGCAGCAAGAUGCUUCCCUGUUGGGAUGCAGGGUCAUGGCGAGUGCAGCUCAUUGCACCGCCUGCUUGCUGGGCUGCAGGCAGCUAUGCUGCUCCCCUGCCUUGCAUUCCCCCAGAGGGAGGGGGCUGCUCAUGUAGAGAUGCUGAAGCCAUUGCAGGGAUAGGACUGGAGAAGGUCUUGGUGCAAUUACCCAAGAACAAGCUCAUUCUGAGUGUGUAAUGGCCAAAAUGCAAAGUCUUGUGCAGCCUCCUCAACAGGCAGAGCUCCAAGCCGCCUGCCUCCUCUGACACCCUGUAAUUCUCCAAAGGAGAUUCUGCUCACACUGUGUAAGCAGUGUCAGCAUUCACCCUUGCUUUGAGCUUGCAUUUCUUGCAUAGAGGUCUGUAUGAAGGAACAGAGGCCAAUAGCCAUGUGCACGGGUGGAAGGUUGUCAGAGGACAGACACACUUGGAAUAAGAGGCAAGUUUAUAGUGAAGCUUUUAGCAGUUGGAGCAGUUUUGGUGGUGCUCAGGAUGCUUUGAUGGAAACAGGGUGCCUGACAUCUUAAAACAGAUGCAGCUUUUCCUUUUUUCCCUCUUUUUUUUUUCUUUCUUCUCUUCUCGAAGCACAGCACUCUGCCUGUGCCAUGUCCAGAUAUGGCCUGCGCUGGGAUGGGAGCUGCUAGCUAAAAAAGCCACAGGCAGCCCAGCGGGACCAGCAGCAGCUGGUAUAAAUAGUGCUCAUUCUCAGCUGCCCCUCUGCCGGGCCGGAUUAGGUGGCAUCUGGGCAGCCAGGGGCUCGUGACCACCGGCUGCAGAAGUCCCCAAGCAGCUGUGAGGGCAGGAGCCGUCCCUGCAAAGCCCUUACAUAGGCACGUCGACCCUGGCAUUUGGGGGGUCGGGUAAAGCUACCGGAGCAGGAAUCCGGUGACCUAAGAAUGAUCAGGAAUAAAUUUCAUCGCGGCAUCCAGGCAGAGCUUCCAAUCUGGGACAUGGCCCAAGGUUGGAGGCAGGAUCUGGCCUUCUGCUUUUUACCCCAUUGCAUGCAUGUGGAAUCUGCAGGGAUGGUGAAGCAUUGCUCAGAGUGGCCAAGAUGCGGUUGCGUCCCCCUCUAGGACACAAUGAGUUAAUUUACUGUCAGUGAGAUUAUUGGAAUCUGAUUUAAUACUUGUGUUUACUUCAGGUCAACAAAUUAAAAAAAAAAACAAACCAACACCACAACAAAGCUUAAUAAUUUAAGGCACCAGCUUGAUGGAGGCUAAUAGAAAAUAAUGCAUCUCGUGCAGAGAUUUCCAUCCCAAGCUUGCAGAGCAUGCAGUGUGUGCCCCUCCUGCCAUGCCUGCAGUCAAUGCCAUGGGAAGGGGCGGUGUGGUGCCUGGAGGCAGCUCAUGAUGUAUGGAAGUAAAAAAAUUGAGCAGUGAAUGGGAUUGGUUUGACUGAGUGGAGAUAAACGCGCAGGCAGUAGCUGAAAUGUGAUGUGCGUAGUGGGGGAUGUGGGAUAAAACUCUGUUGGCAUCACAGGUCAGAGUAGAGAGGGUCUGCUGGCGGGCAGGUGAUGCAUGGGUGGGCACAGGUGAUACUCAGCGUAUGAGUAAAGGUUGUUGCAGAGUGUGUUGGGGAUGGUCCCAAAGUGACCACAGUCUGGGUAGGAGAUGCCUGGAGCCUUCAGGUGCACUGGGAGAUGCGGCACUACUCGCAGGGUGAGAUGGCAGUUCCUUAGUGGGGAAUGGCUUCACCGCUAAAUCAGUGCCGGAGCUUUGUCCCUUCCCUUCCUUGCCGUGUCAGGGCUCUGAGCCACACCAGGUUGUGUUCUUUAAUUUAAGCUUUGUCCUAAAGCCUUGUCUCAGAGAUAAUAAGACGCACACACAUACGCACCCACUAAAAUCCAUUGUGCCAUUUUUGCAAAGAACAGCAGAAGCUGCCCGUGUACCUUCCCCUCUCUGUCCUCCACACUCAUUUGGCCUAUUUGAAGUGGAAUUUAUUCCUGGGAAGGUCCCCAUCAAUUUGCCUUGCUCUUUUGUUGACAAGUUUAUUAAAAACCUGGGCAACUCCAUAUUAAACUUUUAUCAGUGUCGAGGAAGAAUACGUCCUUAGAGCGGCCACAAAAGUUAUGGAUUGGAUCUGAACAUUUCUUGUUCCACUGUCCAGCUGAGUCAGCUUAACAAAUAAAAGCUGCCACCUCCAUUUUUUUCCCUUCCUCAAGAGACAGUUCCCUUUCCCGUGUAAGUAACAGCAGCAAUAACACAAGGAGGUUUCAGGGCCGGGCAAACAGGAGCUUUUCUUUGCACCCACCAGUCCUUACUGCUGAUUAGAAUAAUAAUAUUAACAGAAAACAGGAAUAAAAUAAGAGCCCUGCCGGUAGUUAUAGCUUCUUACCUCUGAGCUAAUUGUUUGUGUAAAGUAAUCUCUACUUUAUAGACAAAUAUAUGAAAAAAAUACCCCCCAAAGUUAAUAUGGGUUGUACUGAGAGCAACGUGAGUAGUUUCACAUUUCCAUACCCUGCAAGGGCACGGAGGGUUGGCAGCGCGGCCGGCGGCAAUACUCGGUUGGGGAUGUGCGGAACCGUCGCUCUUAUUCCUUUAGUUGUAAGAUUAAACCAAGAGGAGGCCAACGUGUUGCAGGGGAGAUGUUAAAAAUAAAGCGCUGGCAUCGCAUAACCUAGUUCCUGUUUUGCCUUGCAAUGGAGUUUUUAUGAGUUGAAAGAAACCGGCGAAACAAUCGGUGAGACGGAUUUUGAGCUGCCAGAACGGAGACAGGCAGGGGAGAAGUGAACCGAGUGGUGGCUCUUAACCUCUGCCAGAUAAAUAAAUAAAUAUCUGUCCCCAAACAACAUAUUUCUUGGCCUGUCACCGCGUCCAAGGAUUUUUUAGUUCUUAAACAGGUUUGCUGGCAUAAUUUGUCAAGUACAACAGGGAGGUUUCCGUGUGACAGAGGAUCAUUUUUCACCGCGCACGGUGGGGCACCGAAACAGUCCUGCAGGCUCAGAGCAGCUCCAUAAUUAGAUAACAGUUAACAUACGUGUAUUAGAGGGAUCAUCCUUCAUGCUAUGGGGCACAGCAGAGCCUGCCACUGCCGAUACCGUGCUGUGCCGAAAGCAGGCAGGGAGCGGGCCGGACAAAUGCAUCUUACUCCAGGAGUUUAUCUGCAUCACCAUUUGCUCCAAUUAUAACUAAUUGGACACAUAUUGCAUUUUCAUAGCAUCUAAUUUUCUAUUGAUUUUAACGGGACUGAUGGUGUUUUGUACUGUUAAGUGGUAUCUCGUACCCGUUGUUGUUUAAAAAUGCUGAGUACACUCCCCUGUAUGGAAUUAUGCAGUCAGCAGAUGUUUUAAAACCUCUUUAAUUGUUCGGUCCAUAAAAUGCACAAAGUGUAUUAGGGAACAGCUUUGUUCUCUUUGAGUGUGUGAGUUUAAAAAUCCAAACUCCAAACUAUUUCUGCUGCCAGUUCCAGGAGCUGCAGCUCUCGGCGGGCAGCCCUGUCCCAGGGGUGGGCUCCCUGCUGCAAUGGAUGCUCCGCAGUUCUUAGGCUGUGUAUGAAGCAGGACCUUCAGCUCCAGGGUGAAAUUUGGAUUAAGACGAAGAUGUUCAUAUUGAGAGUCAAGAUUUUGAUAAGGUCACUUGUGGUCUCCUGUAUAACUAAGGAAUAAGCUGGUAAUUGGUAGGAUUUGGGGUUAUAUUCUCUGUUAUAGAUCUUGCUCUCUGUCUCGACAGUACGUCCAAAUAAAACCGGACUAUCAAAUUAGCCACUGCAUUUCAGCAAAUACUCAGUGAAGCAGGAUGAAAGCAAUAGUCCUCUGUUCAGCAUCAUUUAAAGAAGAAAAGAUUUAAAUGAGAUAUGUAGUGGAGGAGCAGAGAGGCAGCCGGGAAAAAGCUUUCCUAGCAUUGAUCAUUACAAGCAUGGUGGAGAUUUGAACGCUUCGGAUAUUGGCAUAUGAGGAAGAAGGUUUUUAUGCUGAGGGCGGUGAAGCACUGGCACAGGUUGCCCAGAGAGGUGCCCCAUCCCUGGAGACACCCAAGGUCAGGCUGGAGGGGCUCUGAGCACUGAUGGAGCUGUGGGUUUCCCUGCUCAUUGCGGGGGGUUGGACCAGAUGGGCUUUAAAGGUCUCUUCCAAAUCAAGCCAUUCUGUGACCCUGUGAUUAAAGGUAGAUAGGGCAGGCAAUAGGAUAUGGGAAUUGUUCUGCCUGGGGUGCCUGUGGGCUGCCAUCAACCCGCUGCCUUCUCCAGCCAUUAGCAAGAAUUGCAUCAUGUUGGUGGGAGACAGGUGGGAUCAUGGAGGUGUAUAAACUAAAUAGACACUUUAUUAAGUUCAGGUAAUAGUUUUGAAAGACUGAGUGGCUACUGCACUGUCAGCAGCUCCUUUAGUGCCCAUAGGAACUGAGUGCUUUUUAAUUAAGUCAAAUAAAAUCCAAGCGGAAGACUUCCCAGCCUUGGCUGAAGCAUAUUUUUUGGGUUGAAUACCUAUAAUUUUAGAAAUGUUAAUAAAACACAGUCCACUUUUUCCCCUGUAAUAAUAUAAAUUAAAUUAAUAUUUUAUGUCUGUAAGAAAAAGGAUAAAAGCACCGAGGUUGUAUUUUCUGGCUUACAAAUGGCACAUUGUGCAGAAUACAGCAACUGUGGCAUUGAUUUAAACAUCCUCGCAAAGACACCAUGCAAUAAAGUUGAAUCAUCUGCAGUACAAGUAUGGCUGUUUGGGGGAAAAAUAGCCAAAUGAGAGAGCAGACGUUUUCCUGUAUUAUCAAAAGCCACUUCAUUUUGGGGAAAAUUCCUCAGAUUUAGUGACAUUUGGAUGGAAAUCAAAUAACACAUUAACUUGAGGAAAGGGAAAAAAACCUUCCAAAGCUAAUUACAGAGGGAAUGUGCACUUCAUUAAGAUAAAGCUGUAAGAAAUCAAUGUUCUGUAUUGUUGUUUUUUCCUUUUGAUUGGAUUUUAGCAUGAUAAAUUGUUAAUGCAUUUGAUCUAAAAAUGAUUUGUUUAUUCAGAUGAAGAGCAACAGUACUUUGUCUCAUUUGGCCUUUUAGCUUAUAAUGAUAAUGAUUUCAAGAGAUGUUCAUUUCUCAAAAGGGUAUUGGACUGGAAUAAGCAGGAGAUUUCUGGACUCAGAAGGAUGGGCCCUACACAAGGGUUCCUUGUAGGCUAAUUCUAUUGCAUGUUGAAUCUUCUGCUUCAUUAGGAAUAUCGACAAAUGUUGAUAAAUUCUUUGGCUAUUCUGUGCUGUCUAUAUAAAACAUCUUCAUUAGAAUGUUGAGGCUAAAGCACAAAGGUCUUCAUUGCCCCAGGUUCUCUUAUGUUGCCCACUUUUGGCCCCACUUGCCAUGGCAGUGCUUUGAUAACACAGGGAUCUGGCUGCUCUCAGAAGUGUAAUCAUGAACUGCAAAGCUGACACUUAGACCAAAAGCAAAACCGAGGCAUUACACAGUGACUGGCAGAGAGGGGAAUGAGAUGCACAGCUUUAUUUUGCUAUUUUGCCUUGGAUUUGCUUCAGAGAUGUGUUCCUAUAUCUCCCCAGUGCCAUUCCACUAUGUGGCCAUUCCUGGCUGGGGCGGUGUCGGUCCCAUGGGCAGGGUCCUAGGGACAGAGCGACCAGAAAGGACCUUCCCAGUGAGACCCAAUUCCAAGCACUGCUGGGAGGAAACAACUGGAUGAGGAUGACCUUCAGACAGCAAACCUAAAUUUGGUGGCGCUGGGUCGCCCGGUCCUUGAACCUGGGAGGGCAAUAGGAAGGGUAAGUGACACCAAAGCCUGGUCUGACUGGGUUUCAGCACAGCUCACACCUUUGAACACAUCCAGCAAAGCCUCUGCAGUUCCUCUUGCUGCACUGCUGGCCGGGCCCAGGUGUGUGGGGGCUGUGAGCCCCAUGUGCUGCAGCCCUGCAGCAGAGGUGUGGGGAUGCUUUUCCUCAGUUCUGGGAAAGCCUCGCCGCCAGAGCCAUCGUUAGUCGUGAUUAAUGGCAUCCAGAAGAGAAAACCUAAUUUUCUAAAAAGGAAAACCUCACUCAUAACUCACUGCAGAGAAUUCAAACAAAACGUUACGGAAUGUCGGCGCGUGCUGGCAUUGAUUUCGGAUGUGCUGCGGGGCACUCCCUGAAGCAAAGCGAGGGGAACAGAGCAGCACUCAUCUCCAGCAGAAGAUGCUUGUUUUAACGCCCUUCCUGCCAAAACCAAUGGGAUGGGGACAGGACAAGGGCACCUGGAGCACGCCAUGCUGAUGUUCGGGCAGUUCAUUGCUCUGCCUCCCAAAAUCCAUAUGCCCGUCAGGGUUUAGCUUGCAGUCUCGGUGCAGCAUCGGUCACUGCUGGCACUUCCACCUCCUCCCGUUCUCUGGUAAAUAAUUACUUCCCUCCCUCCUAUAACUCACCAAAGGAUGAGUUUAAUACUUCUAGGUCCUCACUGUCUAAGUUUCCAUUUAGCUCCUUGGCUUGAUUGUCUCUUGAAAAGGUACCUAGAGAUAACUCGAUUAAAUUAAUUGUAGAGCUCUUUUAAAAAAGAUGUUCUCUCUCUCUUUCGCUCUCUCUCCGCAUUUAUUUAUAGGCAGCUUACAGUACUGGGGCUGGGCAGUUAAGUGAUCUGCACUACUUACUGUUACAAUGCAAAGCCUGGAUUUCUUGGGGACCAGCAAUACCGGCCCACAUGCAAUAUCUCUGCAUGCAGUGCCUUUCAGCACAGAUCUGAAAGCCAUGGAAAGCACUGAUUUUAAAGGUAGAUGAGAAAACUUGAGUUACCAGAAUGCAGGGCACGGGUGGGGAUAGCAGACAAAAGAUCUGAAAGAAAGAAGGCUGGAGGUGGCAAUUAAAUGACCUGGAUUAGGACACUACUCAGUCACACUGUGGUAGCAAUGCAGCUUCAAAACAGAGCCAAACACCGGGUUUAAAAGGCUACAGGCAGGCACUGAGUGCUGCAGACUGUUCCACUGCUUUUAAAACUGCCUCUUUAAUUCAGACUCGCUCUUCAGCCAAAGCUGCUAAGAAGCUUAAAUAAAUCCUGAAUGCCUGAAAGCGAAGCCAUGUGAACCCGUGCAACGUCAGGCAGCAAGUUCAGAAGAGGUCCUGGCGACUGUGAAGGAAAAGGCCCUGAGGAGUUCCCCUCUUUGCUUUGCAGAGCGUGAGGCCAAAUGCUUUGCUAAAGCUGGUAAAAUGGAACCAAAUCAACUGUUCAAUGGAUUUGGUCCCCUUCAACCAGCUGUAGCUGUGCAUUGAUCUCUCAGACGCACCUCGGAGGCUGACCCGGACAGCAGAAGAAAUGGGCACGUGAGAGGGGCCAAGGAGGGAUGCUGAUGGCUGGCGUCUGCAGAUCUGUCACCCGGGCUCUAAACUGGUGGGCUGAGCCCGAGCCAUUAUGUGGCUGCCAGUCAAUUCUGUGUAACGGAGACCACUCAAGAUUGAUAAUCUCUAUCGUCCUCCUGUAUUGAUCCCAGCUGUGAUUCAGGUCUGUGUAUUUCAAGUGCAAAUGCUGUACGUUUUACGUGUGAUUGCUCAGACACCUCCCCCCCAGGAGCCUCGUGCCUGUGUUUCAUCCGCUGCAAUGAAGAAUAAACGUUUUGAUCUGAAGUUCCCUCCUUGUGUUUUGUUCCAUGCGCUGAGCUGCUCACGAAAUGGGAAUUCUGGGGCUGGCAAGGCAGGGAAUGGGGUGGAAGCACCUGCUGCUUCCCAGCUGCCCCAAACUGGCCAGCAAUAUUGGGUGAUUUGAGAGAUAAUAGCUUUGUUCCAAAAAAAGUCUCCAUUUGAAUGUGUUGGGCUUAUGUUUCUAAAGACCUGUGAAGUGUCUGCUGGUCUAAUCCUCAUAAGCACAAAUAUUAUGCUAAUGGACUUAAAGAAAAUCACUGGUUUUCCCCAUGUCAUAAUGAUUGUUGGGAAAGGACGUUGGGCAUCAUCUCUUCCUAAGUACUGUAAAUCUAUAGGACUAUCACAAGCUAUUACUGCUGGUAUAAUGAGCCAUUUGGAUGCAUAAGUCUGAUAUGAGAUUGCUCACAUCUUUACUUUUUAAAGAUACCUGGCCCAGGAUAACCCCUGGCAUUAGAGGAGGCAGACAUUUCUCUCUUUUCUUAUGUAGGAAACUGGGUCGCCUGACUCCAGGUCCCCAGUCCCUCAGGUACCGGUUAAAUGUUCUUAAUAGUAUCAGGAGUAUUCACAUGCUUUAAGAGAUGGAGCUAUUUGCUAGAUUUGAGGUUUAACGUGCGUCUAAUUUUUAUGUCACUGAGUGUUUUAAAGACAAAGACAUGAGGAGCAGUGGAGCUGCAGGAGCAUCCCUCCUCAGCUAAAAGGAAACCCAUGCUUUCCUCUGUAGCUCAUUUUUCUCACCUUAAGUGUCAAAGCGUCUAUGCUGAAGUCCUACUGAAAUCCAAAUAGUGGUUUGGUUGUUGUUGUUUGUUUUUUUUCCAUGUAUUCCGUUAGAUCAGGCAAAUACCUGGUACUUUUUCCUGAGAACAAGUUGGGGUUGAGGAGCAUGUGCAGAGCUGAGGGCUCAGGUCUCCAGCUCUCCCCUUUGGGAAGCAGUAAUCGCUUCUCACACUGAAAAGAAUGCUUGGGUGUCAAAAGUUCCCUCAGAGUGAACAGCAUACACUGAGAAUACCUUCCAUGCUGAAAUCCCCUCUUGCUGCAGCCUGGGCAGUGAUGACAGAUAAGUUUCUAGGGAGCUUCUGGGAAGAUAAGUUGUUUGUUCUGUUAUUUUCUUCUUUUCCUGUGGUUCAUCAAUCUCUUAGUGUAAAUAUGUCGGGGAGGAGAAGCAGUUGUAUCAGCACUGAUCAGGUAUAUUUGCUGCAUUCGUUCUGAAAAAUGCAUAAGUGGGAAGCUGUGCAUGAACUGUUGGAGGAGGAUGUUCUCCUUCACACCACCCUGGAAAUAUAUAAAAGAAAUAAUAAUUAUUAUUUUUUUUUUUCCAAAAAUGCAACGUCUCUACAAACACCCACCAGUGCAUCCAGAAGGGCUUUAUCCUUGUCUAAUAGGAGAUGCCCAAGCCCUUACAACAUGAAGUUGCAAAUAUUUUAGCCUGUAAACAGAGGAAAGUGAGUAGCUCCAAUGAAUCCCUGCAGCAUCAUGGGGCAAAUUGACAUCCAUGCGCAGGAAGGAUGCUUGUAGCUUUACAGCCACAGCACGUGGCAAAAUAGCCAAUGGUCACCACCUCUGCAGCUGCAAGCUGCAGGCACGCAUUUUUGCACACUCCUUUCCCUGCCAAUUGUUUGCUUUGUAAUCAACAGUGCUGGUUUCUGGGCAUUAUCCAAUCCCACCCCCUAAUUUUGCAUCAAGUGAAAGCAUCAGUGAAGACAGGAAUGAGCGUGCAUGCAGAAUCGCUGUGCAAAUGCCACCCUAAAGCUCUUGCUGCCAAACCCAAGAUUCAUAAGCAAGGAAGGAUGGGGAUGAAAGCACUGGGGAAAGGAAUCUCCAGCACAAACAGGCAGUUUGGGCUGUGGGUGAUACUGGGACAGGUUGAGUAGAACCGGGUGCUUCCAGCAGGCUGUGGCUUGGCUUUCCAAAAUAGCAUGCUCCCCACUCCUGCAGUCUGGGUUAUUCUCCCUCACUCCCCAAGGCUGCAUUCGGUGUAAACAGCACCUUUAUUAAAAUUCUUCCUUCGGAAUGUUAAUUAAAUUACUAAAAAAUGACAAAUGGGGAAGCUGAAGACAUCACAACUGGAACAAAACCACGGAAUGUAACUGAAAAGGUUUUCUCCUGGUGAAGCAUGGGUGGACAAGGGCUCACCUGCUGCAGCAGCUCAGGGUGAUUUCUUUUAAUGGGGCUCCCAGGCUUUGGCUGUUGGCAUCUACACAGAUCCCAGGCACAUGUUCCUCUGCAGGAAAUACUGAAAGCAUUUGUUGUCCCAGAAAUCCUCCCAGAAGAGUUCUGGAUAUAUAUGGGAACAGCGGUAUGCAUCCAUACAACAUGUUAUAUGGGAGUACAUGGCAUUUUAUCAUCUGAUGCAGUUGUUGUGCAAUGAUGUCACACUACUUUGAUCACUCUAUAAACCCGUGUGCCAAAACAUCACCUUGGUCUGUGUUUUGGUACCCCACAGCCAUCUGAGCACUGAAUAGUAGGAAGCUUCCAUUUCACUUGAAGCAAGAAGAUGGAUGUGGGGAUUUUAAAGUUGGGCCAUGUAUUUAGGAGCUUAAACAUGGAUCUCACCUUCAGACAUCUACGUUUGGAAAUUUCUGCAGGUAUAUUUAUUGGUUAAUUAUAUCUUUAUGAAUGGGAACUUCAAUUCACUUAAUAAGGAAUUUGUAGAACGAUACAGGCUACUAUGAACCAAUGCAAGAAAUGUGGGGGCCAAGCCAAAGGCAGCUGUUAGACUUUGGGGGAACUUUCCAAGGACUGCUAAUAUACAGGGACAAACCUAAGACCAGGGCCAAAAAAUAAUUGCUAAUAUUCCUCCCAACAGUUUGUCUGUCAAACCUGUUCACCCUCAAAUCCCUUCUGAUGCUCUGCAUAGGAGCAAAUGGAGCUUCCAUUUCAACCAGGACAUGGACCUACCCAGGGUGUGAAAACUGGAUCCUCUCCAGUUGGCUUCUCAUAAAGCACAGCUCUGAGUGGAAGUUCUACCACUGACUUUGAAUGCCCCAGCAUCAGGCCCUGGCUCAGGGACUGCCAUCCUUUAGCCAACCACCCUGUAACUCCAUCAGGCCUAAUUGUCCUUCAUAGCCACUAACAGGCUGAUCUGAUGGCCCUCCAGACCCUGCUGGUUUCCUAGAAACCCUAUUAGCUUCUCAAACAAAGCAAUGCUGAGGACUCUGUCUUGCAAACCUUUUGUGCAAAUAUUAAAUAGCAGUGGAUAAUUAGCAGGAAUAAUCUUUUUUUCUUGACCUCUUCUGUAAUAAAGACCUUUGUCAGCAAAUGCAAACGUUAUUUUGAGCAGUAAUUCAUAAUCUAAAUCUGCUAAACACACCAGACUAAAUACACCUGCACUCUCAUAUCCAUAGUGUUUGUACAGGACUUUUAAAAGGGAUACAGACACAUUAUCUGUCCCAAAGACCUGAACACAUUCAUCUGUCAAGUGAGGCAGAGGAGGUGGCAAAAGAGGUGGUACAGAAGGGAAGAAGGAAAAUAAAACAGUAAAAAAAAAGUGCACAAAUAAAUUUACCCACUAAUUUAGAUUACACCUCUUGGGGCUCUACUCAUGCUUUGUGGGUAUUCUCCAAAUGAACUGCACGGUCCCAUUAACACCAAGAUGGCUAGCAAAAAAUCAGGUUGGCUCUCUUCCCUAAAGACAUCAUCCUCAUCCUUUCUUACCAGGAGAGAAAAAUCAAAUGGUUCCUUCAGCUUGUUGAGCAGGACACAAGCUUUGGACUCUUCCAGCCUGUUUUGGUUUCUCCCUCAAGACAAGCAGAGGGGUCUAAUGACUCUUGCCUCUUCCUCCCUAAUCUUCUAUUUAGCAAUAUCCUCUCUGGAAAUCCCCGAAAGAAAGGAGCUAGAAAUUGUCCCUCUCCUUUAGCAUUAGACCCACUUUUACCUUUGGUGGUCCACCAAUGCAUCUCUGGGCGCAGCAAUCAGAUUAUGUGGAUUUUGCCCACGGCAUUUUACUCUGCAGGUCCUUUUCCUUUGUAUGGUUUUUUUUUUCUUCUUCUUUUUUCUUUUUUUUUCUUUUUUCUGAGAGGAGAAAAAAAGAAAAGACAAGCAAACCAACAGGCAGAUAAUUGUUCUGUGCUGACAGUUUGUCAAGUGAAGGAAGUGCAAUUUUAGUCGAGAGAUCUACAUUACAGCGUUACUUGAGCAGAAGUCUCUUCUUUUACUCCCAGAUGGCAUUGACAUAUAGCCUGGAGGGGCUAUCAGGGUACAAAGCUAAAGAUGGUUAAAGACAUUAAAAACUGUACAAUAUGAGCACCGUCUACACUGGGACCAUCACCUAGGAUGAAGAUUCACCCUGACGUAUUGGGCAGAAAGCAAACUGAGCUGAAGGUAUUUUCAAGAUACAUGAAAAAAAUAUAUAUAUUCCUGCUCCUAACCGUGUCUUUUCUAGUGGGUCUUUAUUGACUCUUUAAAAACUAUGACCAAUAAAUGUAAUGAUCUGCCUUCCUCUUUCUUCCUGGGUGAAUGAUGGCUCCUGCAGGGUGUUUAUCACUGAGUGUAAUGGCUGGUUGAUCAGUUCGUGUCCAACUCCACUUCCCAGCAAGCUAUUGAACGCCUCCUCCUUGUCACGGGGCCGCCAGCAUUUCCCCCAUCCUGCCAGAGCUUCUGUUAAGCCGUAUAAUAAAUAUUGCACUCAGAACAAGAUUGUAAAUCUUGCCAUAGGACAGAGGGUAUUUGCUUUUCUGCCUUUCUUGAGUUUCGUGUUGCCUAAGUUGCUGUAAUGUACUUAAGCAGAGAACAGACUUAAUGCUCUUGCUUUCUUUUUAAUAAGAUGCAUAGCUCAUUUAUCCAGUAGGUGCAGCUGGAGGGGAAGAGAACUGCAAAGAGGGGACUUCACCUGCUGGAAAAUAUUCUCUACUUCCCCCAAAAGUGAUGAAAAUGUCAAUACUAUUGACACAAUCACUAAUUAAAAACGACUGCCAUAAUCAUGCAUAUGACAGCCGUAGGACAUCAGUUUGGAUUAAAUGUGAGCAGCAAGUUGUGCUGCACAUGGUUUCCAAAAGCAGAAAGGGCUGGGUGAUGUUAUCUGCUGUUGGAUGUACAUCCAAGAGAGAGAAGGAUGCUCUUAAACAUAGUUGCUCUUCUUUGCACAGCCCUGGUGCUUGCAUGGCCUGAAUUCUUCGCAGCAAUGAGAAAAAAGUGCGUCUGUUUUUACUUCCUUGUCCAUGUUUACUUAUUUGACUGAGGUUUAAGCAGUGCCCUCUGCUCUGUACAUAGUGUGGGCACCCAAUGUGCAGGCAGCCAUCCCAGCAGCUCAGUGCUCGUGCAUUGCUCCCAUUGAGUUGUAGUGACACCUCAGGCUGGGUGUGCAUAGCCUUUCCUCUUUCUCUCAAGGAGUAAAAUCCUUUUAUUUAGGGGUUUUAGCAUGCAGACUUACAACAAAAAAUAUCUUGUCAAUGCCCCACUUGGAUUAUUUCCUUACGCAUCGGUCUAACCGGGUGAGAAAGAAUUCCCAUUUAAAUGCCUACGGUUCUUGCAUUAUGCCUGUGAUAUGAAUGCAUGCCCAGGCAUCUCAUCUACUCCAGGUCAUUGUCUUUAAUUGGACAAGACCAAAAAUAAACACUGCGACCUUCCACAUAGUCCCAGGGGCUCCAGGGUGGGAUGGAGCCUGUUGGUUCUUAUCUAAGCAGAAAUGUGAAUCACUAGGAAAGUGUAUGUGCCUUUUCAUGGUGUGGAGCAUGGACCAAUGAGCCCUAAACCUCAGGAAGGACAGAAAGAGGGCCAACCCUCUGAGUAGGGAGAGUUGUUAGUCUCAGACAGAAGGAGGACAGCAUUCAACAAUUGACACUUCCCAAAUCUAAUCAGCCUGACCCCAAAACUACCAUUGGAAAGGCUUACGAUAUGUGCCCGUCUCCAUUGUAUAGCAGAGGGAGGAGUGUAAAGCUGUCAAUAAAAACUUGAAAAAAAGAAAGAUUUUAAGAAACCAAGGAACAGAAAGAAUGUGUUAACUAAGAGUUGGGCAGAGUGCUUCCAUCCUAGUGGUGGUGGAAGAGCCAAAGGUUUCCCAGUGAUGCACUUUUUUCAUUUGAAACCCUUGGUUGUUCCACCCAGCGUGCAGUUUGACAUUGGGAGUUUUUUAUGUGGCAUGUUAGGAGGUCCUCAAGCAUGAACUAAUUGAUUCAUGAGUGGAUGAAUCCGAUGCAUCUUUUAAAUGGAAAACCGACAUCAUUCUCCAUCAGAGAUCCGCUAAUAAAGCACAUUUACUUGGUUAAUCCAUUUUUUUUUUUCUGUGCUAAGUGCACUGUAUAAGGUAUAAAAAUAUCAAAUCAAUAGGCAAAGAGUAUAUAAAAACAAGUGAGCAGUGUGAGCCACCCUUGGGUGGGCUCCUUGCAGGACCUGAGUUGGAUCCCACUCCCAACACUGCACAGAGCAGCGGGGCUGCAGUGCACAGCUGUCCCUAUGAGCCCCAGGGGACAGCGGGUGCAGAGCCACCUGCUUUGGGGCCUCGUGGCACCACACUGCUCCCUAUUUUAAGCAGUAACUGGGUUAAAGGUGUCGGGUUAAUCUCCUUCUCUCAUUUGCUAGGAUUAUGAUAUUUAUUAUAGCAGAAGGAGCAGAGAAGCAGGAAUGCGUAUGGAAGACAGAGGCAUCUUCCAGCUCAGCCUGCACAAAUUCCCAUUUUUUUUUAAUUUUUCCAGGGGAAUACAGCAGUAUUAUUUCAGAGCAAAUGCCUGCACAGCCCCGUCUCUGCAAACACCACUCGAUCAGUGCAACUCUCUGGUGUGAGCUCAUUUAACAAGCGGUUGCCUUGCAGGCUGUGGAGAAUUGCCUCUUACCUAAUAAUUCUGCUAAUUUGCUUAACUUUCCCAGAUUGCAAAUGGCCCUGCCCUGAACAAGCAGCUUUCUAAAUGAACCCCCAGACAAUUUCUUGACAAGAAGGGAUCGGAGAGGUGCCUGCUCGGGGAGCUGAAGCUCUCAGCCUUUUUAUUUCUGACCUUUGGGCUAGCAUUCAGAUUUGCUUGUUGGGAAAACUGCAUUCCAAGUGUAUUUUCUUCAGGGAUUUACAAUACCCUUCUGCUUGUAAUUAUUCUCACCUGAUGUCUUCCAUAAAUUAGUUAAAGAUGCUUCUAUUAGUGAGCUCCCGUCCUGUUAAUUAUCGUGCUGCAGUUCCUUGCUGGUGGCCGCUCUGCAGCACCGGGGCUGCAUCCGUGCAAAGCUCCCGGCCGAGAGAUCAGGGAUGUAGUGUGUGGGUAAUACAAACGUCUGAGCAAUCUGGGAAAGAAAUGAAAACUGCUGUAAAGGUAAAUGUCAGACUAUUUAAAGACAAUGUUGACUAUUGAUUUUUCGGACGAGACUACCUCUUCAAAGGAUGGCAAGCGUUCCUUCGGAUCCAGACGAGCAAAAAGUUCCUCAUCACAGAACUCCAUGAAAAUGCCUCUCAGCCUCCAGGCAGAGCGGGUGCCUCUGUUCAGCAUGGAGGGACGCGGCUGUCACCGUGCCAGGUGUGACGCGGGGCUGCAUCAGAUCGAUGGCACGGCCGCAGGAGAGCUCACUAGUGAUGCCAGGUUUAUUUUGGAAGCUAAAACAAUGUAAAAUCAACACGGCACGCACUAAACGGAUGAAAACCCCACUGAUAUGUUUAAAUGUACGGCUGCGUGCAGACACUCAUCACAAGUGGCUGUGUUUCAGUUCAUCACUUUUAGCAAAAUGGUAGAAAAUCAAAACUAAUUACAAUCAAAGUUCGCUGAUGAGUUCGAUUUGGAUCAUGGUGGGGCUGAGGAUCAGCCUUCUCCUGAGUCAGAUUGAAGAAAAAACCACCCAGUUCAACACAGGCACAUACAAAGCCACACUUGGGAACUGGAAUUUCAUGGCAUUCAGGGGGAGGAGGGAUCCUAUAGCACAGCGCUGGAAGCUCAAACAAAUAGCAGAGUGGAAUACCUCUGGUGUAGCAUCUGCUGGGACCCUGCAGCUAUUUCUGGUGUCUGCAGCUCAAGAAGGAUGUUGAUGAAUGGGAGAGGGCUCCGAGGAGGCACACAAGAAUGACGGAAGCAUUGCAAGACAUGCCUUAUAGUGACAGAUUCAAGGACCCCAGUGCGCUUAGCUUAACAAAGAGGAGGUUAAGGGAUGGCUUAAUGACAAUCCAGAUGUGCUCAGACAGACAGAAAUGGAAAGCUCUUCAAUCGAGCAGACAGAGCAAUAAAAAGAGCCGGUAACUGCAAGCUGACACUGCAAAAUUCAUGCUGGGACAGGUGAACUUCUUAAACGGACAGAACCAACACCAGAACCACUUCCUAAGAAGCAGUUUCACCAUCUUUCACCAUUUCAAAUUCAUAUGGAUUUGUUUUUGUUUUGUUUUUAUGUAUAUCUCAGAUCCACCAAAGAUCACUCUUUAAAUGAACACUCAGAGACCCACACGGCAUGAACAGGAUUCGCCUCCCCUGAUUUCUUGAUGGCCUUAAUUAUGAGUAUUUAAGACAUCAUCCCUGAGCACUGAGUGGGACGACCCCCUCCUUUUGGAUCGUGGUCAGCCUCAGUGGUGACUCUCAUGGGCACCUCAGCUCUGCCAGAGGAAUGGCUCUGUGGUUCAGAAGCUGCUGGAAUUUCUCCUUUCAUGGAAGUUCCUCACAAAAGCCUUUGGUGCAGACGACUCUUGGGCAUCUCCAGAACUACCCUUUGGCUUCUCCUGGGGGCUGUCUUGUAAGCCCCAGUGACAUCUUUCAGUGCAGCUGGGGACAAACAGCAGCCCCCUACAUUGCUGCACUUGCCAGAGCUGCCUGCAGGAACCUCUCUUGAUGCACACCAGCCUUGCUCCAUGCCUCUUGCUGCUGCUAAUGCCCGCGAGCAUCUCACCUUUUGCAUCCCAUGGUUGAAGGAUCAGCAGGGAACCAGGAAGCCCUGAGGUUCUUGGUGAAGUCUUCCGUUUAACUCCUGUUAACUGGGAUUUAGAAAUGCCUCUUGGCUUUGGAGCACUUGGUGAAGGCUGGGAGAAUCACUGUGACUUACUCCUAUCUCAGUUUGCACUGAAUUAGCAAGAAACGUGCAAUUAUCAUAGAGUCAUGGAACAUUUUGAGUUGGAAGGGAUCAGUCCUUGUGGCACACUACUUUUGUUCCCACAUUUGUCAUAAUAAAUGGAGCAGAAUAUUAUUACCUGUGCCAAAGCCCUGGGUGAGUCUGGGCUCUCUGAUGGCCGCUGGUUUCACUGCUGCCCAAGACUGGUAUUGAAGCAGACCCUCGGAAACAACAGCACAUUGUCAAUAGCAUGUGGGACAUUAUUAAUAAACACUAGGGAGCUUGAUAUGAUCUGGCAAAAGCAGCACAAUGAAAACAGGUACCAAAAGAAGGAUGGAGAGAAAGGGAAGUGAUCUGAACAGGGUGUUUAAUGACUCACCGGGCUGCGAAGCGCAGUGGAGAGCAAGGGUGGAAUAGAAAACAUUUUAAUGAAUUCAGCAUGCGCACCCUCUGAAGGCUCAGCUCCCCAUUCCCCAGCAAUAUUUGACCCACCCGAAGAUACUGAUCACACCGAAAUAAUAACCAGUUUCUUUUCACUUCCCAGAACUGCAGCUAGCAGAGCGGGAAUGUGCCAGGUGAGCAGUUGAAGCACAGCUAGAAAAGGAUUGCUCCUCUGGUGCAAGCAGGGAUUUAGCUGAAAAAUACUGAGUUACUGGAAGUCUAAAAGUAGGCACUGUUCCAAGGUCAGGAGACUGAGCGUCACCUCACUCAGUGGUGCACUUUCCAUCAGAGGUAAAGCACUUCUGCUGUCCUGGAUCCAAAGUAAAGCCCAGACACUUGUAUUUAUGUUGUUCUAAGCUGUAUAACAACCCUAUUUAACAGAGAUUUUAAAUAUUCAUGGUUAAAUACUAUGAAUCAAAAAAAAAAAAAAAUCCCUUAUGCAGGCAGUUGUUGAAGGAGUUGGUGAGGGACUGUGUGCCAACAUGAGCACGCUGCUCAGAGCUCAUGGCAUCAGAGUGAACACAGAGGGAGCUUCUUUCCCCCAAAUGAUAGGCUAUGAGAAGUGCUAUGGCACUGGUAGAAGGAAGGAGAGAAAUGCCAUGGAGGAUGUGGGUGCCUUGCCCCUGCUCUAACCUGCAGCCAUGAGAUAUGGAAUAUAUCUAGGAUCACAUCUCUGGAAGGUUAAAUGCAGACAACGCAAGGGCUCCAAAAGCUGCAGGCAGCAUGGGGCAUUAGCCAAGGCACAGCUUUGCUGCAACCUCGUUUUCAUGAUUUAACAUUACUGCUGUAAAUAAUUGAUACUAAUGUGAGAUAAGAGACAGACUGUCUGUGGGCCAGGAGGAAGUGGAUCCUGGUGACAUCCACCCAAAAAUGUGCUUGCAGAUUUGGCUUGAGUGAAAGCGCUGAAAAGCCAAACACCCGAUCUGAGAGGCAGGGAAGGGAAGAGGGAUAGGAAAGGCAAGCUAGAUCAACUCAUAGGACUCCCAUUUUUCAAAAGAAAACUCCCUGUAUUAGUUCCUUCAACAAGAGAACAUCAGCAUCACCUAUCGUUGGUUAGCUUGCCAAGGUUUGCUCUUGCACUAGUCCUUAGGACAUGCUCAUGCAUUGUCAGAGGGUGGGAACCAGGGCGGGUAUGGGCAUGGUUUAAGGAACCAGUUUUGUAAGAAGGUACAAGAGCAUCCCUCCUCAUCAAGGACACGAGAACCCCAGAGUGCUCAAUAUACUUUAUGCCUUUGGCUGUGGUUAUCUACAAAUCAGCUGAGCACCAGGAAGGAGCUAUCCAGAAUCUCAGUCUUUGGAACCAGAGAUGGAGAACUACCCAUUUGGUCCAGUGAGGACAGACGUGAGCCAGGUGAUGGAUUCAGUGCUCUGGAAACCCACCUGAGCUUGAGAUGAAUGGGCCACAACGAGGCUGGAGAUGGGGAUAUCCCUGCUGGGAACCUCCCAGGGCCAUUGGACUGCAUAAGGCUCUAAAUCCCAGAGUUGAUGCUGCCUUCGGCAUUUCCCAUCCCCUGAGCAGCCAGCAUGAUGUCAAGCCGGCUUUGAUCCUGCCUAGGACAUAGAAAAAGAGAUAACGCCAGCUGAAAAAAAAAUAAUGGAAAAUGGUGUUGAGCCACCCUUAAAGCUCUCUGCUAAACUUUCUGCUGCAUCACCACCUUCACGCAACCCCUGUGUUGCUCCCCAGCCCAAGGACCUUCCUUUACCCUCACUGUAAGGACAGUUGGUGCAGAGCAGAGAUGCUCUUUGCACCCCAGCUGCCCGGUUUGCUGUCUGGUGAUGAGAGCAUCUCCUUCCCUGCUUAAUGCUGGAGCUGAGAUCCUGUGCUGCCUCCAUAGAACUGCUGCAGCAGGAUAUGAAUUAUGGAUGCAAUGAAAAAUCCCAGCGCAUUGCACAGAGGGAAUAUGCAAAGUGCAAAGCAAUCACCUCUGCACGAUGCACGAGCAUUGCCACACACUGCCAUUGGAUGCCCAAAAACUGUACCCCACCAUGACCUGCACCUCCCUCAUCCCGGAAAGGCACCGGGAUCCCCUCCUCCUGAGCACUCCAGGGCUGGAAAUGAGGACACCCAUCAUGUGAAAAACACCUCUUUACAUACUGCGGAGGCACUCAGGGCACAGGAGGGGGCCUCACUGCAUUCACAGGCAUUCAGGGGAUGGGUGUCUGCUCUCUAUGGGUAAGGGCUUACCCUUGGGAGCUCUGGCAGAGCUUUGCCUGGAGCCAAAGAGCCCACAUAUGUUGUUUGCAUCCUCCUCCUGUCAGAGCCCACUGCCGCUGGAGCAGAGAAGUGUAGGACAGUUCUCCACAGACUAAUUUGGGGGGGCUGUAGUGUGCGGAAGCUCUCCUCAUAACUUCUCUUUCAGAAGGCUUUUCCUUUUUAUUUCUUUUAAUUUUCAAAUGCUCCGAUUCCUCCCCUUGAAGCACAGCUCGUUGCCUCCGUGCACCAUCUCAUAGCACACUGCAAAAGCGUUGCCACUUUCCAGAGCCAUUUCUGAGCAUGCAAUAUCAACAUCUGUGCUAAAAGCAAGCCAAAAUUUUUCCCCGAAGCGAUAUUUUGCUUGGCAUUAUUGUUCCUUUUUCUUUUUAAUGGUUUGCUUGUCACGGGGACUCCUCAGCCUUUUAUACUCAGGAAAUGCAGAAUGCUGCUUCCCUCCCUGCUGCAAGCAGGAGCCAGCGGUGAGCACAGCAUGCAGCUCCCAUCCAUCCCACGGUGCCAGAAGGUUGGGGAAAUGCCUUGGGUCACAUAGGGCCCCAAUUAAUUACAACAGCCCCCCAUGAAUGGCACUGUAAAUUCUUGUUCCUUGUGUUAAAAAAGUUACGAGUGUUACUUAGCGGCCACUAAAAUUAUACAGCACUGCAGCACUGCGUUUGCUGCUGUGUGCUCACUGCCUUUAAAUGCCACAGCCAGGCAUGGGAUAGAUGGGAGGCACAUGGGCAUCCCUGGAACCUGGCUGCUGGCUCUGCCCAGGCUGCAGCUGACAGUCACAGAGAAGCAAGUGCAGUGCAGAGUUCUUUCUGCCUGGGGGUAAGCACUGAGAUGCUGCUAUCUCUGGCUCAGUGUCAGCUGCAGGUAUCACUGUUCCCAGGGCAGGCUGCAGGAUGCUAUGGAGCUGGAGACUGUUUUCACUGAAUCAUUAAGGUUGGAAAAGACCUCUAAUGCCAUCACGUCCAACCCCAAUCCAUCCCACCAUGCCCACUAAUGUCCCUCUGGGUCACAUCUACCCUUUUCUUGAACACCUCCAGGGAUGGUGACCCCACCACCUCCCUGGGCAGCUCUACCAAUGCAUGACUGCUCCUUCUGAGUAGGAAUUUCUCCUGAUAUCCAGCCUGACCAGGAUCAGGUGGAGGAUGGUUGAAAAGGAAGAAGAACGACCAGUAAUAGGGCUCUAUAGCACCUCCGUCCGUAAAGAGUAUGACCAAUUUUCAGCUCUCAGAAGCUAAAGCAGGACUGAUGUAUAAAGUCUACUUUGGUUUCUCCCUGGUUUAUGUCUCUGACACCUUGCAAAGUCUUCGGGAUGUCAGGACAUAGCUCUGCCCUUCUGUACAGGUUUCCUUGGAGGAUUUCACACGGUGUUGGUGCAGGCAGCAGUAGCAAUGUCUGACAGCACUCCCACGGCAGCUGCAGGGCAGUGAGCAGCAGUACAGUUCUGCCUUCUCUGCUGGCAAUCUUCAGCUUUCUGGGCAAUUAUCUUCUCCCCCAUCAUCCUGCCCAGCACACAGCUGGUUGGCAGAGCUAAUUGAUUGGUGUUUGUACAGGCUUUUGGGUUUCUCCUGUUAAGUAGGUGUUAAAUCUCAUUAUUAUUAUUAUUAUCUUCUGUCAUAACCACAGUGAUGAACGUCCCCCUGUGCACGUACUUAAACUACCCAAUGUGGGCUGCCUUGUUCUUAAUUUUGAUUAUUUUAAGAAGUCUUUUAGCACAUCAAAUUGCCUUGGUGGAUAAAGAUUUAUAGCAAAGCCUUGGGAGCUGUCAGAGUAAUGUUUUUCCAGCAGCAAAAACUUAACCUCCUCUUAGAUCUCUUUCCUGCUUUGUCCCACACUUCUCCAUGUGAUGAAGGGAUGCUGAGGCGUUGCUGGGUGCAGCUCUUGGGAUGAAGGAAAUGUGCUGUCAGUCCUUUUAUUUCUGAUCCCAUUUGAGUGUGUCACUCAGCUGUCUCAAAUCAAAGAGGGUGAGAAGGUGCCUUAAACUGCUGUGAUUGGAAACUUCAAACUCACCGUGUCUUCCAGACGCUAAGUAAAUGGCUGGUGGGCUCUUGUAAAUCACAGCAUUUCUAAAUAUACCAGAGAGUCUCUCUGCCAAGAUGCUGAUGAACACUGCGUCUGUUCCUAUUGACUUCUUUUCCCCCUUCAGAUUCCUUUUGCUUUGAAUAAUUUCAAAUCAUAACGCAAAAAAAAAAUCCUGGACUCUUAGCGAGACUCAGUGAUGCUGUGAUUAAUGAAAACGUAAUGAGAGCUACCAUGCAGCCAUUACAAACCAGUUAGCUAAUUAGUCUAAUCACAGAGGUGGAAAUAAUUAAAAGACCAUAAAGUAGAGGUAGCCUAAUAACAGCGUUUUCCUCUGACCCAGAAGUGAAGAGAGAAGGAUGCUCUGUUCUAUCUGGUUUACUGGGUCAGCGCCAGGAGGAGUGGGGAGUGAAGGGCCCAGAAGAACUGCAGUGCCUGGGCUGGAUCAGACAGGGAAAACAGAGCAGCCUUACACCACUCUGCCCUUACACCACUCUGCCCUUACACCAGACUGCAGCUGAGUCCUCAACUGCUUCAGAUGUGUACUUGUAAGGUAGGACCGGUCUGCACUGGAGAAGCACACCCUGAAACCCUGCCCUACUUCUGCAAGGGUCUUCCAGCCCGGGCUGCUAAUGAGAGGCACAGGGCAAUGUGCAGAGCUGGAUUUCACCCCGUAAUUAGCAGUGACCUACCUCUCACUGCUGGAUGGAAUGGCUCCGUUUGAUGGGCUGUAAAAAAUCCUAACUGGUAAUUUUCCAGUUGGGAUGGGUCAUGGUUAUGGCCAUCUCCAUUGGCUCUUAUCAUUUCCGCCAGGGGUUUGUGUGCAUCCCAUUUGACCCGAUUAUAAUGAGCAAAGAAGAACAAAGGAGCUGCAGACACACAAUCAACGAUCAUGUGCUGAAGCUGAUGAAUACGCCAAGUCUGCUAAGUGGCUCCUCAUCAGCUAUUCACGUGCUGGGAGCCAUCUUUAUUUGCUCUUCGUCUGUAGGUGAAUCUAUUUUUGUAGCUCUGUUUUGGGGGUGGGAGGGUGGAUGGAGGCAACCACCGCUGUCAGGUAAAGACUACGCUUUCCUGAAAAAUCAAACGGUGACACCAAGUUGGCAGUGACCUGAAAAGAAGAAACGAUGCCAUGUCAUUUAGAGAAGGAAGAAAUAAUAUUCCCCAGUGACACCCCUGGUGGGAGGCAGAAUUUUACCUCCCUGCAUCUCAAAUGAAGCAUCACAGCAGCAGCACUGACUGUGCUUCCGUGUUUCCAGAGUGACUUUUCAUUAACCUUAUUUUAUUUGCUGUAGCUGCAAACAUGCUUUCAAGGGUAGGAGCAGGGGCUGUCCCGCUGGGAGGAUUUGCAGGAUGAAAUGCAAGCCCAGGACAUCCCACCUGGAUCCUCUAGCUGUGACAUUGCUGCAGAAGGAGGGAUGUGUCCAGGGGUCUGUGCUGCUGCAUGCCAAUGACUGCCCAAUUUCUGCCCUUCCAGCACCUCUUCUUAUUCAAUCUGAACGUGUGGGUGAGCAGCACACCCAUCCCAGGGCUCUGUUCCAGCUGAAGCUGUUUCCUGCUGCAGGCUGUGUGGGUUCAGCAGCACGCUGCUCCAGGAAAGCAGUUCUGUACAAGCAGCAACACACAGGCUUGCACCGCCGGCGUUUGCAAACAGCUGAUCUAGAGAGAUUGCUUUUUUUUAUUUAUUUCUUUGUGCUUUUGACCUUAUUUGUUGAAAAUGAAACAUCAUGUAACCUUCCAGGAAAUGCCACGAAUCUUCGAUCUGACAUGAGAACAUAAAUCUCCAGUGCGUGUGCAUCAGUUCCGGUCAGGUUUUCAGGUCUUAGCUAGAUCAGAGUGCAGUGGGAGCAUCCCAUAUUGGGGCCAGCAGGACCCAAGUUCCUCACCUGUCCUGUCCUUGUAACAGCAGUCCCAUGGCAUUGGUUGUUGCCUGUGGACCAGGCUGGUUUUCCACCCGUUCUUUGUAGAAAGAAUGGGAUUUCUUGCACCUGAAUUGAAGUGUGAAAUUUUAAGGGGACGGGUGCAGCUCCUCCCUCCCAGCUCCGGCUGAAAGCAAGCACUGCCUCACAGCUCUGAGCAGCCCCCACUCCAACAGCCAUCUCGGGGAGCAGAAGGUUCUUGUGCUGUUGGGAACUGAGGCUCUGCAGCCCCGACCACACAGAGAGGUGGGG